UGGGGAAUAUUGCACAAUGGGCGCAAGCCUGAUGCAGCCAUACCGCGUGUAUGAAGAAGGCCUUCGGGUUGUAAAGUACUUUCAGUCGGGAGGAAGGUGGUAAGGUUAAUAACCUUAUCAAUUGACGUUACCGACAGAAGAAGCACCGGCUAACUCCGUGCCAGCAGCCGCGGUAAUACGGAGGGUGCAAGCGUUAAUCGGAAUUACUGGGCGUAAAGCGCACGCAGGCGGUUGAUUGAGUCAGAUGUGAAAUCCCCGGGCUUAACCCGGGAAUUGCAUCUGAUACUGGUCAGCUAGAGUCUUGUAGAGGGGGGUAGAAUUCCAUGUGUAGCGGUGAAAUGCGUAGAGAUGUGGAGGAAUACCGGUGGCGAAGGCGGCCCCCUGGACAAAGACUGACGCUCAGGUGCGAAAGCGUGGGGAGCAAACAGG
RNAcentral lists this ribosomal RNA (429 nucleotides) under Chloroflexota bacterium. RNAcentral's name for it is "Chloroflexi bacterium partial 16S ribosomal RNA". It matches the Rfam family "Bacterial small subunit ribosomal RNA", at positions 355 to 776 of the family's 1533-position model. Lineage: Bacteria; Bacillati; Chloroflexota. The record is from RNAcentral.